CGCGUAGGCGGCUUUGCAAGUCGGGUGUGAAAUCCCCAGGCUUAACCUGGGAACUGCAUUCGAGACUGCAUUGCUAGAGUAUGGGAGAGGGAAGUGGAAUUUCCGGUGUAGCGGUGAAAUGCGUAGAUAUCGGAAGGAACAUCAGUGGCGAAAGCGACUUCCUGGACCAAUACUGACGCUCAUGUGCGAAAGCGUGGGAGCAAACA
This 206-nucleotide ribosomal RNA is filed under the name uncultured bacterium. Its description in RNAcentral is "partial 16S ribosomal RNA". It matches the Rfam family "Bacterial small subunit ribosomal RNA", at positions 568 to 774 of the family's 1533-position model. The record is from RNAcentral.